RNAcentral lists this ribosomal RNA (460 nucleotides) under uncultured bacterium. Its description in RNAcentral is "partial 16S ribosomal RNA". It matches the Rfam family "Bacterial small subunit ribosomal RNA", at positions 338 to 795 of the family's 1533-position model. The record is from RNAcentral.
CCUACGGGUGGCAGCAGUGAGGAAUAUUGGUCAAUGGCCGCAAGUCUGAACCAGCCAAGCCGCGUGAAGGACGAAGGUUCUAUGAAUUGUAAACUUCUUUUGUACGAGGGCAAAUUCAGAUUCGUGUGCCUGGCUGAGAGUACCGUAAGAAAAAGCAUCGGCUAACUCCGUGCCCGCAGCCGCGGUAAUACGGAGGAUGCAAACGUUAUCCGGAUUUAUUGGGUUUAAAGGGUGCGUAGGCGGUUCGUUAAGUUAAAGGUGAAAUCCCGGGGCCCAACUCCGGCACUGCCUUUGAUAAUGGCGGGCUAGAGAUGAGUUGCGGUAGGCGGAAUGUAUGGUGUAGCGGUGAAAUGCAUAGAGAUCAUACAGAACACCGAUUGCGAAGGCAGCUUACCGAACGACGACUGACGUUGAGGCACGAAAGCGUGGGGAGCGAACAGGAUUAGAUACCCGAGUAGUC